ACUCCUUCGAGUGGCCAGUGGGCGGCGCCGGAGAGAUGCCCCUCCAGACACCGAGGCUGGUGGGACUGGAGCAGGGUCUGUGUCCAAGGGGCAUAACUCGGCCGGGCCAAUAAGUCAUAGAGACGUGGAAAGUAACAUAGCAAGACGUCCUCCAACCAAGAUGUUUCCAGCUGGAGGCUCCUGAGACCUGCUGGGCUGCAGCAGAGACAGGGGCUGCACCCGCCCCCCAGCUUUGGGGCCCCAGCCCCAUCCUCCCCUCCAGCUGGGGAUGGACAGCUCCAGGAGGGACAGACAGAGUGUGUGCUCUGCCUCCCCCACCGGCAGCUCCUACAAGCGCACCCAAGGAGGUCCGAGGAAAGAGUUCCACACUAUUGCACACCCCAAGAGGAUAAAGCCAGGUGUUUUCUUCAAGAAGAAGUAUAUUUCUGUCCAGAAGAGCAAUUAGAAAAACUUUCACCAGCUUAGAAAACGGGAUGGAACCAAGCCUCCGGGUCCAUCUGCCCUGCAGCCUGGCACCCCCCCAUCCCAGGCUCAUCGCAAGUUCAGAGAGAGGCUGAUGAGGGGCUGGCCAGCCCACUGGAGCUGCCUUUGAGAAAAUGAUGGCGAGGUUAAAGGAGAAAAUAAGUUACAUUACAGUUUCCAAAGUGGUUCUCACUCUCCGCUGAAGAUGGGCCACCGGCAGGGCUGAAAUGCACUCUCGGUCCCAGCUUGUGCUUUGCAAGAAGAGG
Long non-coding RNA from Zalophus californianus (California sea lion), 728 nucleotides. RefSeq lists it as uncharacterized. The transcript is spliced from 4 exons. Lineage: Eukaryota; Metazoa; Chordata; Mammalia; Carnivora; Otariidae. The record is from RefSeq and is a predicted model, not a curated record.